RNAcentral lists this ribosomal RNA (460 nucleotides) under uncultured bacterium. RNAcentral's name for it is "partial 16S ribosomal RNA". It matches the Rfam family "Bacterial small subunit ribosomal RNA", at positions 338 to 795 of the family's 1533-position model. The record is from RNAcentral.
CCUACGUGAGGCAGCAGUGAGGAAUAUUGGUCAAUGGACGAGAGUCUGAACCAGCCAAGUAGCGUGAAGGAUGACUGCCCUAUGGGUUGUAAACUUCUUUUAUAAAGGAAUAAAACGAGGCACGUGUGCCUUUUUGCAUGUACUUUAUGAAUAAGGAUCGGCUAACUCCGUGCCAGCAGCCGCGGUAAUACGGAGGAUCCGAGCGUUAUCCGGAUUUAUCGGGUUUAAAGGGAGCGUAGAUGGGUUGUUAAGUCAGUUGUGAAAGUUUGCGGCUCAACCGUAAAAUUGCAAUUGAUACUGGCAGUCUUGAGUACAGUUGAGGUAGGCGGAAUUCGUGGUGUAGCGGUGAAAUGCUUAGAUAUCACGAAGAACCCCGAUUGCGAAGGCAGCUUACUAAACUGUGACUGACAUUGAUGCUCGAAAGUGUGGGUAUCAAACAGGAUUAGAUACCCCUGUAGUC